This 253-nucleotide ribosomal RNA is filed under the name uncultured bacterium. Its description in RNAcentral is "partial 16S ribosomal RNA". It matches the Rfam family "Bacterial small subunit ribosomal RNA", at positions 524 to 776 of the family's 1533-position model. The record is from RNAcentral.
UACGAAGGGGGCUAGCGUUGCUCGGAAUUACUGGGCGUAAAGGGCGCGUAGGCGGCCCGCUUAGUCAGGCGUGAAAUUCCUGGGCUUAACCUGGGGACUGCGCUUGAGACGGGUGGGCUUGAGGGCAGGAGAGGCUCGCGGAAUUCCCAGUGUAGAGGUGAAAUUCGUAGAUAUUGGGAAGAACACCGGUGGCGAAGGCGGCCUGCUGGGCAGUAGCUGACACUGAGGCGCGACAGCGUGGGGAGCAAACAGG